UAAAAAGUGCUAUUGAGGCAAGUGGGAC
This 28-nucleotide non-coding RNA is filed under the name Mus musculus (house mouse). The record is from RNAcentral. Lineage: Eukaryota; Metazoa; Chordata; Mammalia; Rodentia; Muridae.